UGAGUCAGGACUCUGCGGGCUAC
RNAcentral lists this unclassified non-coding RNA (23 nucleotides) under Mus musculus (house mouse). Its description in RNAcentral is "oocyte_clustered_small_RNA3280". The record is from RNAcentral. Lineage: Eukaryota; Metazoa; Chordata; Mammalia; Rodentia; Muridae.